UCUGUGAACUCCUACGGGAGGCAGCAGUGGGGAAUUUUGGACAAUGGGGGCAACCCUGAUCCAGCAAUGCCGCGUGAGUGAUGAAGGUCUUAGGAUUGUAAAGCUCUUUCACCGGAGAGGAUAAUGACGGUAUCCGGAGAAGAAGCCCCGGCUAACUUCGUGCCAGCAGCCGCGGUAAUACGAAGGGGGCUAGCGUUGUUCGGAAUUACUGGGCGUAAAGCGCACGUAGGCGGAUAUUUAAGUCAGGGGUGAAAUCCCAGAGCUCAACUCUGGAACUGCCUUUGAUACUGGGUAUCUAGAGUAUGGAAGAGGUGAGUGGAAUUCCGAGUGUAGAGGUGAAAUUCGUAGAUAUUCGGAGGAACACCAGUGGCGAAGGCGGCUCACUGGUCCAUUACUGACGCUGAGGUGCGAAAGCGUGGGGAGCAAACAGGAUUAGAAACCCGGGUAGUCCAUCAGCG
Molecule: ribosomal RNA, 458 nt
Filed under: uncultured bacterium
Lineage: Bacteria
Description: bacterial SSU rRNA
Rfam family: Bacterial small subunit ribosomal RNA
Source: RNAcentral